RNAcentral lists this ribosomal RNA (490 nucleotides) under uncultured bacterium. RNAcentral's name for it is "bacterial SSU rRNA". It matches the Rfam family "Bacterial small subunit ribosomal RNA", at positions 30 to 516 of the family's 1533-position model. The record is from RNAcentral.
AUUGAACGCUGGCGGCAUGCCUAACACAUGCAAGUCGAACGGAGGUAGGGGCAACUCUACUUCAGUGGCGGACGGGUGAGGAAUGCGUCGGAAUCUACCCUAUGGUGGGGGAUAACACAGGGAAACUUGUGCUAAUACCGUAUAAUGUCGAGAGACCAAAGCAGGGGACCGCAAGGCCUUGCGCGAUAGGAUGAGCCGACGCCCGAUUAGCUUGUUGGUAGGGUAAUGGCCUACCAAGGCGACGAUCGGUAGCUGGUCUGAGAGGAUGAUCAGCCACACUGGGACUGAGACACGGCCCCAGACUCCUACGGGAGGCAGCAGUGGGGAAUAUUGGACAAUGGGCGCAAGCCUGAUCCAGCAAUGCCGCGUGUGUGAAGAAGGCCUGCGGGUUGUAAAGCACUUUUGUUCGGGAAGAAAUCAUGCUGGUUAAUACCUGGUAUGGAUGACGGUACCGAAAGAAUAAGCACCGGCUAACUUCGUGCCAGCACGG